RNAcentral lists this ribosomal RNA (433 nucleotides) under uncultured bacterium. RNAcentral's name for it is "partial 16S ribosomal RNA". It matches the Rfam family "Bacterial small subunit ribosomal RNA", at positions 29 to 507 of the family's 1533-position model. The record is from RNAcentral.
AACGAACGCUGGCGGCAUGCCUAACACAUGCAAGUCGAACGAGACCUUCGGGUCUAGUGGCGCACGGGUUCGUAACGCGUGGGAACCUGCCCUUAGGUUCGGAAUAACUCCCCGAAAGGGGUGCUAAUACCGGAUAAUGUCUUCGGACCAAAGAUUUUUCGCCCUUGGAUGGGCCCGCGUUGGAUUAGCUAGUUGGUAAGGUAAAAGCCUACAAAGGCGACGAUACAUACAUGGUCUGAGAGGAUGAUCAGCCACACUGGGAAUGAGCCACGGCUCAGACUCCUAAGGGAAGCAGCAGUAGGAAAUAGAGUAACAGGAGCGAAAGCCUGAUCAAGAAAUGCCGAGUGAGUGAUGAAGGCCUUAGGGAUGUAAAGCUCUUUUACCCGGGAUCAAAAUGACAGUACCGGCACAAUAAGCUCCGGCUAACUCCGUG